AUAGAUUCUCGGCCUUUUGGCUAAGAUCAAGUGUAGUAUCUGUUCUUAUCCGUUUAAAAUAAUAAUAAUAAUAAGGGCACCUGGGUGACUCAGUCAGCCAAAUGCUGAUUCUUCAUUUCAGCUCAGGUCAUGAUCAUACGGUUCGUGGGUUUGAGCCCCCCUUCAGGCUCUGUGCUGAUAGUGCAGAGCCUGCUUGGGAUUCUCU
RNAcentral lists this small nuclear RNA (205 nucleotides) under Suricata suricatta (meerkat). RNAcentral's name for it is "U2 spliceosomal RNA (ENSSSUG00005006965.1)". The stretch from base 1 to 164 matches the Rfam family "U2 spliceosomal RNA". From Rfam's summary of the family: U2 is a small nuclear RNA (snRNA) component of the spliceosome (involved in pre-mRNA splicing). The record is from RNAcentral. Lineage: Eukaryota; Metazoa; Chordata; Mammalia; Carnivora; Herpestidae.